This 620-nucleotide ribosomal RNA is filed under the name uncultured bacterium. RNAcentral describes it as "bacterial SSU rRNA". It matches the Rfam family "Bacterial small subunit ribosomal RNA", at positions 186 to 804 of the family's 1533-position model. The record is from RNAcentral.
CCGCAUGGGGAUAUUUGCUAAAGAUUCAUCGCUGAUAGAUAGGCAUGCGUUCCAUUAGGCAGUUGGCGGGGUAACGGCCCACCAAACCGACGAUGGAUAGGGGUUCUGAGAGGAAGGUCCCCCACAUUGGUACUGAGACACGGACCAAACUCCUACGGGAGGCAGCAGUGAGGAAUAUUGGUCAAUAGGCGUAAGCCUGAACCAGCCAAGUCGCGUGAGGGAUGAAGGUUCUAUGGAUCGUAAACCUCUUUUAUAAGGGAAUAAAGUGCGGGACGUGUCCCGUUUUGUAUGUACCUUAUGAAUAAGGAUCGGCUAACUCCGUGCCAGCAGCCGCGGUAAUACGGAGGAUCCGAGCGUUAUCCGGAUUUAUUGGGUUUAAAGGGUGCGUAGGCGGCCUUUUAAGUCAGCGGUGAAAGUCUGUGGCUCAACCAUAGAAUUGCCGUUGAAACUGGGAGGCUUGAGUAUGUUUGAGGCAGGCGGAAUGCGUGGUGUAGCGGUGAAAUGCUUAGAUAUCACGCAGAACCCCGAUUGCGAAGGCAGCCUGCCAAGCCAUGACUGACGCUGAUGCACGAAAGCGUGGGGAUCAAACAGGAUUAGAUACCCUGGUAGUCCACGCAGUA